AUUGAACGCUGGCGGCAUGCUUUACACAUGCAAGUCGAACGGUAACAGGUCUUCGGAUGCUGACGAGUGGCGAACGGGUGAGUAAUGCAUCGGAACGUGCCCAGUCGUGGGGGAUAACGCAGCGAAAGCUGCGCUAAUACCGCAUACGAUCUAUGGAUGAAAGCGGGGGACCGUAAGGCCUCGCGCGAUUGGAGCGGCCGAUGUCAGAUUAGGUAGUUGGUGGGGUAAAGGCCCACCAAGCCAACGAUCUGUAGCUGGUCUGAGAGGACGACCAGCCGCACUGGGACUGAGACACGGCCCAGACUCCUACGGGAGGCAGCAGUGGGGAAUUUUGGACAAUGGGCGCAAGCCUGAUCCAGCAAUACCGCGUGCAGGAAGAAGGCCUUCGGGUUGUAAACUGCUUUUGUACGGAACGAAACGGCUCUCUCUAAUACAGAGGGCUAAUGACGGUACCGUAAGAAUAAGCACCGGCUAACUACGUGCCAGCCGCCGCAGUAA
This 498-nucleotide ribosomal RNA is filed under the name uncultured bacterium. RNAcentral's name for it is "partial 16S ribosomal RNA". It matches the Rfam family "Bacterial small subunit ribosomal RNA", at positions 30 to 523 of the family's 1533-position model. The record is from RNAcentral.